CUCAUCUCCUGGUAUUUUGACACAGCUGACUCUUGAUUCCUGUCUCAUGACUGUGGACUCCUGCUCUGACCACUGGGUCUGGCUGCCUAUGAUCUGGCCCUGACACUGUUGUCAUGAUAUUUAUCCAAAGGGUGGCAUGUAAUGCAUCACUGGA
Long non-coding RNA from Chelonia mydas (Green sea turtle), 154 nucleotides. RefSeq lists it as uncharacterized. The record is from RefSeq and is a predicted model, not a curated record. NCBI's taxonomy places the organism in Eukaryota, Metazoa, Chordata, Testudines, Cheloniidae. The transcript is spliced from 3 exons.